RNAcentral lists this ribosomal RNA (253 nucleotides) under uncultured bacterium. RNAcentral describes it as "partial 16S ribosomal RNA". It matches the Rfam family "Bacterial small subunit ribosomal RNA", at positions 524 to 776 of the family's 1533-position model. The record is from RNAcentral.
UACAGGGGGUGCAAGCGUUACUCGGAAUUAUUGGGCGUAAAGAGCGUGUAGGCGGUUUGGUAAGUCUGAUGUGAAAGCCCCGGGCUUAAUCCGGGAAGUGCAUCGGAUACUGCCAGACUAGAGUACAGGAGAGGUGAGCGGAAUUCCUGGUGUAGAGGUGAAAUUCGUAGAUAUCAGGAGGAACAACAGCGGCGAAGGCGGCUCACUGGACUGUAACUGACGCUAAGGCGCGAAAGCGUGGGGAGCAAACGGG